GAAUGUUCAGCUGGCCACUACUGCCCUACCGGCACUGCUUCUGCCACUCAGUUUCCAUGUCCUGAGGGGACCUACAACCUACAAAAUGGGAGCAGCCUGGUGUCUCACUGUAUCCCCUGUGAGCGAGGGCACUACUGUGCACUCGCAGGGCAGGCACGUGUUACAGGGCCCUGUCUGGCUGGAUUCUACUGCAGUGGAGGCUCUUCUAGUCCAAUGCCCACAGAUGGUCUCCUGGGGGAUGUGUGCCCAAAGGGAACAUACUGCCCUAUGGGCACUGCCUUCCCGCAGCCAUGCCCUCCUGGUUAUUAUAGCAACUCAACAGGGAAUACUGGCAUUGAGGACUGCCUUCUGUGUGAUGCAGGGUAUUUCUGCAGUGGGACUGGGCUUUUAUCUCCAACUGGAUUGUGUGAAGGUGGAUUCUACUGCAGUGGAGGAGCCAUUUCUCCUCAACCUCCCAGGAUAACAGUGAGUGGAGGACCGUGCCCACCUGGACAUUACUGUGUAGCGGGGAGCAGCAGAGCCCAGCCUUGUCCUGCAGGGAGUUACAGCCCAUCCUGGAGUAUGGUGCAGUGUUUGGAGUGCCCAGAAGGUUUUUA
This 596-nucleotide long non-coding RNA is filed under the name Gallus gallus (chicken). RNAcentral describes it as "long non-coding RNA NONGGAT005241". The record is from RNAcentral. Lineage: Eukaryota; Metazoa; Chordata; Aves; Galliformes; Phasianidae.